Molecule: non-coding RNA, 71 nt
Organism: Ictidomys tridecemlineatus (thirteen-lined ground squirrel)
Lineage: Eukaryota; Metazoa; Chordata; Mammalia; Rodentia; Sciuridae
Source: Rfam
GGGUCUGUGGCUCAGAGAGGUAGAGUACUCGCCUACCAUGCGUGAGACACUGGGUUUGAUCCCCAGCACCA